Molecule: ribosomal RNA, 468 nt
Filed under: uncultured bacterium
Lineage: Bacteria
Description: partial 16S ribosomal RNA
Rfam family: Bacterial small subunit ribosomal RNA
Source: RNAcentral
GACGAACGCUGGCGGCGUGCUUAACACAUGCAAGUCGAACGGAAAGGCCCUGCUUUUGUGGGGUGCUCGAGUGGCGAACGGGUGAGUAACACGUGAGUAACCUGCCCUUGACUUUGGGAUAACUUCAGGAAACUGGGGCUAAUACCGGAUAGGAGCUCCUGCUGCAUGGUGGGGGUUGGAAAGUUUCGGCGGUUGGGGAUGGACUCGCGGCUUAUCAGCUUGUUGGUGGGGUAGUGGCUUACCAAGGCUUUGACGGGUAGCCGGCCUGAGAGGGUGACCGGCCACAUUGGGACUGAGAUACGGCCCAGACUCCUACGGGAGGCAGCGGUGGGGAAUAUUGCACAAUGGGCGGAAGCAUGAUGCAGCAACGCCGCGUGCGGGAUGACGGCCAUCGGGUAGUAAACCGAUUUCGCCUGUGACGAGGCGUGAGUGACGGUAAUGGGUAAAGAAGCACCGGCUAACUACGUG